GACAGUGUGAUGCAGUGGUUUGAGUGUUGGACUAUGAAUCUGGAGACCAGGGUUCGAAUCCCUACUCAGCCA
RNAcentral lists this transfer RNA (72 nucleotides) under Phrynosoma platyrhinos (Desert horned lizard). RNAcentral's name for it is "tRNA-OTHER". It matches the Rfam family "tRNA". Rfam says of the family: Transfer RNA (tRNA) molecules are approximately 80 nucleotides in length. The record is from RNAcentral. Lineage: Eukaryota; Metazoa; Chordata; Lepidosauria; Squamata; Phrynosomatidae.